UAACUUGUUUCUCUUCAGAUCAAAGAAAUCUUUUGCUUUUUACUAAGGAUUUCUAUGAAGAGCAAUAUUUAUGAGUUUUAUGUAUGUUGCAGCAGCAGUUUUAAUGGGAGGGUUGU
Molecule: small nuclear RNA, 116 nt
Organism: Sceloporus undulatus (fence lizard)
Lineage: Eukaryota; Metazoa; Chordata; Lepidosauria; Squamata; Phrynosomatidae
Product: U5 spliceosomal RNA
Exons: 1
Source: RefSeq, a predicted model, not a curated record